ACGCUGGCGGCGUGCCUAAUACAUGCAAGUAGAACGCUGAAGAGAGGAGCUUGCUCUUCUUGGAUGAGUUGCGAACGGGUGAGUAACGCGUAGGUAACCUGCCUUGUAGCGGGGGAUAACUAUUGGAAACGAUAGCUAAUACCGCAUAACAAUGGAUGACACAUGUCAUCUAUUUGAAAGGGGCAAUUGCUCCACUACAAGAUGGACCUGCGUUGUAUUAGCUAGUAGGUGAGGUAACGGCUCACCUAGGCGACGAUACAUAGCCGACCUGAGAGGGUGAUCGGCCACACUGGGACUGAGACACGGCCUAGACUCCUACGGGAGGCAGCAGUAGGGAAUCUUCGGCAAUGGGGGCAACCCUGACCGAGCAACGCCGCGUGAGUGAAGAAGGUUUUCGGAUCGUAAAGCUCUGUUGUAAGUCAAGAACGAGUGUGAGAGUGGAAAGUUCACACUGUGACGGUAGCUUACCAGAAAGGGACGGCUAACUACGUGCCAGCAGCCGCGGUAAUACGUAGGUCCCGAGCGUUGUCCGGAUUUAUUGGGCGUAAAGCGAGCGCAGGCGGUUUGAUAAGUCUGAAGUUAAAGGCUGUGGCUCAACCAUAGUUCGCUUUGGAAACUGUCAAACUUGAGUGCAGAAGGGGAGAGUGGAAUUCCAUGCGUAGCGGUGAAAUGCGUAGAUAUAUGGAGGAACACCGGUGGCGAAAGCGGCUCUCUGGUCUGUAACUGACGCUGAGGCUCGAAAGCGUGGGGAGCGAACAGGAUUAGAUACCCUGGUAGUCCACGCCGUAAACGAUGAGUGCUAGGUGUUGGAUCCUUUCCGGGAUUCAGUGCCGCAGCUAACGCAUUAAGCACUCCGCCUGGGGAGUACGACCGCAAGGUUGAAACUCAAAGGAAUUGACGGGGGCCCGCACAAGCGGUGGAGCAU
This 925-nucleotide ribosomal RNA is filed under the name uncultured bacterium. RNAcentral describes it as "bacterial SSU rRNA". It matches the Rfam family "Bacterial small subunit ribosomal RNA", at positions 33 to 940 of the family's 1533-position model. The record is from RNAcentral.